This 539-nucleotide ribosomal RNA is filed under the name Trichoderma hamatum. RNAcentral's name for it is "eukaryotic LSU rRNA". The stretch from base 170 to 323 matches the Rfam family "5.8S ribosomal RNA". The record is from RNAcentral. Lineage: Eukaryota; Fungi; Ascomycota; Sordariomycetes; Hypocreales; Hypocreaceae.
UCCCAACCCAAUGUGAACGUUACCAAACUGUUGCCUCGGCGGGGUCACGCCCCGGGUGCGUAAAAGCCCCGGAACCAGGCGCCCGCCGGAGGAACCAACCAAACUCUUUCUGUAGUCCCCUCGCGGACGUAUUUCUUACAGCUCUGAGCAAAAAUUCAAAAUGAAUCAAAACUUUCAACAACGGAUCUCUUGGUUCUGGCAUCGAUGAAGAACGCAGCGAAAUGCGAUAAGUAAUGUGAAUUGCAGAAUUCAGUGAAUCAUCGAAUCUUUGAACGCACAUUGCGCCCGCCAGUAUUCUGGCGGGCAUGCCUGUCCGAGCGUCAUUUCAACCCUCGAACCCCUCCGGGGGAUCGGCGUUGGGGAUCGGGACCCCUCACCGGGUGCCGGCCCUGAAAUACAGUGGCGGUCUCGCCGCAGCCUCUCCUGCGCAGUAGUUUGCACAACUCGCACCGGGAGCGCGGCGCGUCCACGUCCGUAAAACACCCAACUUCUGAAAUGUUGACCUCGGAUCAGGUAGGAAUACCCGCUGAACUUAAGCA